Molecule: long non-coding RNA, 954 nt
Organism: Ostrinia nubilalis (European corn borer)
Lineage: Eukaryota; Metazoa; Arthropoda; Insecta; Lepidoptera; Crambidae
Exons: 2
Source: RefSeq, a predicted model, not a curated record
AACACGUUCAGUUACGUAGCCCCAUUCAGUAUAGAAGUGUCUUGCGCAUGAGUUGCCUUUGGUAUUAUGGAGCGUAUAAUCGGUACUCUAGUGGCGCUCCUUUCAACAGUAGUUAUACAAAGUCUACCUAUCAAUAACGGAUUCAGUGUGAAAUUCAACCCACUUGCUGUGAAGGAAGAAUUAAAACUGAAAACAUUUGGUGCUCUUUUUGCUAAGAUUCCACAAGAAAUAACGUCAGCCGAAUCAAAAGUCAGACGCGAAGUGGUUUCGAAGGCGUACUAUCCGAACCCACCAGACUUAGGAACUGGUUGCUCGAAUCAAGUGGCAAAAGUUAUAUUUCCUGCGAAGAAUACAAAUAACGAUGAGGACAUAAUUCAGCCUGCUGAGGGUCUGAACUUUAUUAAUUUGCCAAUUGUGAAACAGCCGUAUGAUAACUAUAAAAUUUUGGUGGCAACUGCUCCACCAAACGUCAAAAUAAAUAACGAGGAAGAAAAUACCCCGCUAGUAAUUUAUGUAGUAUUUCCUGGAGAUGGAGCUGAUGAAUCAGAUUCAAUUAAUAUACCAAUGAUUUAUUUCGUCAAUCAACACAACGGGAAAAUGGAUUUCAAAAAACCAGGGAAAGCUGAACCGAUAUUGAUUAUAAACAGCAACCGAACGGUGACUGGAUUGAAAAGUAAGGAGAUAGAGAAAUUUGUGAAAUUUAAAAAUAAAUUAACGAAGCGGUAUAAUUAUCAAAUUUCAAGAUAAAAUCUAUACGGAUCAAAAUAAUAUUAUUCUAUUUAUGAUAGGAAUUAAAGCUUGUGACACCUUUAUUAUCUAUUUGUAAAAGUAAGUGUUUUUCUAUGAAAUUAUGGCUGAAAUAAUUUAAUACACAGAGCACUUUUUGGCAAUUUAAUAGUCUUUGUAUCUUUUUAAACAGUUAGUUCAAGAUACACGCACUAAGGUAGAUAAACA